GGCGGUAUAAGAUGACUAUGCGUUCUAUUAGUUUGUUGGUAAGGUAACGGCUUACCAAGACUACGAUAGAUAGGGUCCUGAGAGGGAGAUCCCCCACACUGGUACUGAGACACGGACCAGACUCCUACGGGAGGCAGCAGUGAGGAAUAUUGGACAAUGGAGGCAACUCUGAUCCAGCCAUGCCGCGUGUAGGAAGACUGCCCUAUGGGUUGUAAACUACUUUUAUAUGGGAAGAAUAAGGUAUAUGUAUAUACUGAUGACGGUACCAUAAGAAUAAGCACCGGCUAACUCCGUGCCAGCAGCCGCGGUAAUACGGAGGGUGCAAGCGUUAUCCGGAAUCAUUGGGUUUAAAGGGUCCGUAGGCGGGCUUGUAAGUCAGUGGUGAAAGUCUGUGGCUCAACCAUAGAAUUGCCAUUGAUACUGCAGGUCUUGAAUUAUUGUGAAGUGGUUAGAAUAUGUAGUGUAGCGGUGAAAUGCUUAGAGAUUACAUAGAAUACCGAUUGCGAAGGCAGAUCACUAACAAUAUAUUGACGCUGAUGGACGAAAGCGUAGGUAGCGAACAGGAUUAGAUACCCUGGUAGUCUACGCCGUAAACGAUGGAUACUAGUUGUUUGGCUUUCGGGCUGAGUGACUAAGCGAAAGUGAUAAGUAUCCCACCUGGGGAGUACGUUCGCAAGAAUGAAACUCAAAGGAAUUGACGGGGGCCCGCACAAGCGGUGGAGCAUGUGGUUUAAUUCGAUGAUACGCGAGGAACCUUACCAGGGCUUAAAUGUAGUCUGACAGGGCCAGAGAUGGCUUUUUCUUCGGACAGAUUACAAGGUGCUGCAUGGUUGUCGUCAGCUCGUGCCGUGAGGUGUCAGGUUAAGUCCUAUAACGAGCGCAACCCCUGUGGUUAGUUGCCAGCGAGUAAUGUCGGGAACUCUAGCCAGACUGCCGGUGCAAACCGUGAGGAAGGUGGGGAUGACGUCAAAUCAUCACGGCCCUUACGUCCUGGGCCACACACGUGCUACAAUGGUAGGGACAGAGAGCAGCCACUGGGCGACCAGGAGCGAAUCUAUAAACCCUAUCUCAGUUCGGAUUGGAGUCUGCAACUCGACUCCAUGAAGCUGGAAUCGCUAGUAAUCGGAUAUCAGCCAUGAUCCGGUGAAUACGUUCCCGGGCCUUGUACACACCGCCCGUCAAGCCAUGGAAGCUGGGGGUACCUGAAGUCCGUUACCGCAAGGAGCGGCCUAGGGUAAAACUGGUAACUGGGGCUAAGUCGUAACAAGGUAGCCGUACCGGAAGGUGCGGCUGGAACACCUCCUUUCU
RNAcentral lists this ribosomal RNA (1308 nucleotides) under Dokdonia sp. Hel_I_53. RNAcentral's name for it is "bacterial SSU rRNA". It matches the Rfam family "Bacterial small subunit ribosomal RNA", at positions 214 to 1533 of the family's 1533-position model. Lineage: Bacteria; Pseudomonadati; Bacteroidota; Flavobacteriia; Flavobacteriales; Flavobacteriaceae. The record is from RNAcentral.